UACGGAGGGUGCGAGCAUUAAUCGGAUUUAUUGGGCGUAAAGGGCGCGUAGGCGGAAAUAUAAGUCAGAUGUGAAAUCCCGGGGCUCAACCCCGGAACGGCAUUUGAAACUGUAUAUCUUGAGGGUAGGCGGAGAAAAUGGAAUUCCACAAGUAGCGGUGAAAUGCGUAGAUAUGUGGAAGAACACCAGUGGCGAAGGCGGUUUUCUAGCUUAAACCUGACGCUAAUGCGCGAAAGCAAGGGGAUCAAACAGG
This 253-nucleotide ribosomal RNA is filed under the name uncultured bacterium. RNAcentral describes it as "partial 16S ribosomal RNA". It matches the Rfam family "Bacterial small subunit ribosomal RNA", at positions 524 to 776 of the family's 1533-position model. The record is from RNAcentral.